Molecule: small RNA, 26 nt
Filed under: Bombyx mori (domestic silkworm)
Lineage: Eukaryota; Metazoa; Arthropoda; Insecta; Lepidoptera; Bombycidae
Description: ovarian small RNA-9703
Source: RNAcentral
UUGAUUACAUUGAUUGUGCUGAGCUA